This 271-nucleotide unclassified non-coding RNA is filed under the name Hevea brasiliensis (rubber tree). Lineage: Eukaryota; Viridiplantae; Streptophyta; Magnoliopsida; Malpighiales; Euphorbiaceae. The record is from RNAcentral.
GUGGUUCAAAAGUACGCAUACUUUAAUAGUCAAGCAGGGUUGUGCCUUCCGUUGCUGGGAUUAAAUUGUCAAGAUUAAUUACUCAAAUUGUGAGCACUGGCUCUGGUUACUGACAUCUUCUGUGUGAAAUGAGUCAAGCUUGGUGUUGAUGGGACUCAGAAAUGAUGAAAAAUGUUUUGGUGGUACAUGUGACUUAAUUCCAAAUCAACUAAAAGAAAACUAAUUGAAGAACUGGUAUAAAAAAUUUGAAAAAAGAAAAAAGACAUAUAGC